CAAUAAUAAAAAAAUUAUUCUUUCUCCAAUUUCAACAUGGUAUCAGAGCAUCUAUCUUAAACCUAAUUUUCUUUUCUCCUUCGUUCUUUCUUCGCCGCCGCACGCCCAUCCGGUUUCUCUUCUCCAUCUCCGGGAGCUUGUAUCAGUUAAGUCUCUCAGAUUCUUCACUGCCCCUCUGCACUGCGAAUCUGCAAGUUGCCGACGCCAGUCACGCCACGCUGAGUCUCUGUCUCUCGACUCCCUUUUUUUUUUUUUUUUCUUUUUUCAGCAUCUCUCGGAGUUGUUUCAGUCCGGUUGUCUUCUCCGGCCAGACCCUUUUCGCUCGGCGUACGCUCAACCUCUCCGGCUUUCUCUUCUCGGCUGGUGUGUCUUCUGCAGCAGCUCCGGCGGUCUUUCUCUUCUUCUCUCGUCGUCGCCGAUUCGUCCUCGUCACUUGUCAUUGGCAGACUGCCUCUCUCAGGCUCUCAUCUUGUUUGUUGUGUCCGGCUGGUUCCUCCCCGACCCUCACAGUCAGCCCGGAAUUCUCUCGGCGUGCUCUCUCGCUCACUCCGGCGUUCCCUCAGCUUCUCCGGCUUUGCUCCCUUCUCUCUCUGAUUUCUUUCCCGGCCGACUUGCAGUCCCAGCUUCUCUGUUUUUUUUAUUCCCGGCUCCGGCUACAGCUACCCGAAUAGAGUCAUUGAAGACUCGCCGAGUACACAGCAUACCAGCACAGCUCCGGCGUAACCGCACGCAGCAGACCACCACAAUCAGCAGCAUACCAGCAGCCCCCAGACCCGCACACAGCAGAAUACUCACUACAAUAGCCCAUCUUCUUCGGCAGUUUUUUUGUUUUGAUUGACCAUCUCCGGUUUCGGCUUGCCUUCGUGGUCUCAACACUCCGACGGCACCUUCGGCUUCUCUACGCUCGAAGAUUAUUAAAUUGACUUAUCAACAAGGAGACUGAUUGGAAUGUGUGAAGUACGUGAUAGGCUUUACCACUGUAAACCCCCCUCCGCCUCAGUUUUCCACUCUCAACGUGUUUCUGACACCACUCUUUGGCACCAACGUCUCGGUCACCCUUCCAUUUCAUGGUUCGGGUGAGUGCCACAGGUUCUUUUUGGGAUCCCUGUUGUCGUAAUUCAAGAAAUCAGGUCCUCCACCAGAUCGAGCUUAGAGAGCUCAAGGUGUUUGUAGCAUUUUUGGGAUAUAGAAAAGAAAUAGUAUAUACUUAGCUGAUAUUUUGGGUUGUAUGGAAGUUGUUGACUUUUUGAGUCCGAUCCCUGUUUUGAUAAUGACAAACCACAAUAUCCCACUUGUGUAACUGAGUGUGAACAGGUUUAUAUUUCUGUUAGCACAAGUGAUGAUUGCAAAAUGGAAGUCGUAAAGAGCACUGAGAAAAAACACCAAUGGACAUAUUCCAUGGAGCAUUGAGGAGCAAAAGACACAAAGACUUUAUUUAUUUUCUGGGUUGUAAUAAUAAUUAGGGUUGAAUGUGCAUGCAUCUUACAUGAUUUAAAAUUGAAGCUCUACCUGACCUUAGAUUGACCAUAGGACCUCCAAAUAACAUGAAAAACUCUUUUCAUAAAAUGUCUAACUUAUACAAAGAUUUUUAAAUGAUUUUAAAGUUAAAAGAAGGCAAAAACUAAAUUUUUCAAAGGGGUCGGUCAACCGGCUAGUCGACCGAAUGUUAGAAAUGAGCAAUUUUCCCACUCAAUUAGAUCUCAUCUCAAACCAUGUUCAACAUGAAAAUUGUGGCAUUUUCCCAUAGCUUGAGUUUGAUACUAAGAACGUUCAAAUUGGAGUCACACAAAAAAAUUUAUGGCCAAAACACUGAAACGUGUCUAUAAGAGAAAAAAUCCCUUCAUGUUUCUUCCAUCUCAUUAAUGGGCAUUUUUCUCAAACCAAAACUCAUUAUCUUAAAUGUGUUCAACAUGAAAGUUGUGUAAUUUUCUCUUACCUUUCUAUUGAUAUCAAUAAAAUCCAAUUUAGAGUUGUAUAGAAAAAGUUAUGGCCAAAAAACUUAACAAUGUCCGUGUAGAAAAGUCGAGGCUGGUCGACCGAACCUUCACUACGGUCGACCGAAACUUGUGGAUUUCAAGCCUCGGUAGACCGUACCUUGAGCCUGGUUGACCGACCUUCUCGGGAAAGUAUCCCAACUACCAAAAAAUGGCUAGUUUUCAAAAUAAAAAUAUAUUUUAAGGUCCCAACGGUUAUAUAACGGUCACAAUGGGUUUUUGCCUAUAAAUACAAUCCCAAAACACUUGAAAAUUGUUGGAGAAUCUCUUUGUUAAUUUAGUUUAUCAUUCUUUGAUUCUCCCACACUUCUAUGCCCCAUUUGUUCUUUAAAUUCUCAUUUUUAUCCUACUCUUCUUUUAUUUGAAAAUCAUUUUGGGAGAAAAUACUUUUAAGUUUUUUUAUGUGAAGAGGCUUUAGCAUAUGUCAUGUACAUAUAUAUUGCUUGAUGGCCUUGUUUUUUCAUUUGUGAUAUAUUUUCGAAGAUUAAAAUGUCUCAUAUUCUCUUCUUUUGAAAACCAUUUUUGGGGAAAAUAUUUUUGGAGUUAUUUUUGAAGAGGCUUGAGCAUAUAACAUUCUCUAUAUGUAUAUUGCUUGAAGGUCUUUCUAUUUUUCAUGUUUUCAAAGAUUAAAUUUCUCCCAUAUUCUUUUAUUUGGAAAAAUAUUUUUUGGACAAAUUUAUUGUGAAUAAUGCCUUGAAGGCUUGGACUAAUAUUCUUGUUCAUAUAUUUUGUUUGAAUGUCUUCUUGGGAUUAAUUUAACUAAGGUAAAUCAUUUUGAAGAAAACCCUAAUAUUCUCCUACUCUUAUCUUGAAAUACAUUUGUUGGAGAAUUUCUUUGGGUUAUAUAAGAAGGAACCUUGAGCAUAUAUCAAUUUAAUAUAUACUUGCUUGAGAGGCUUCUCCUUUUAUUUUAUAAAGGUCAAUCAUUUUAGAAAAGAAAAUCAUUUUCCAAACUCUCAAGUUUUACUUAAAAAAUAUUUUGAGAGAAAACUCAUACUCUACAUGAGCUCCAUUUCAAAAUCAUAUGAGAAUGCAUAUUAGAUUUUAAUGUUGUACAUCCCCGCUUAGUUUAGAAGCAUAUUUUAUGUAUAAAAUGAUUUUCAUGUAACGGUUCGGUUUAGCCCAUUAAUUGAAUUGGGGAGUCUUAGCCUCGCA
This is a long non-coding RNA of Malania oleifera, 3149 nucleotides long. RefSeq lists it as uncharacterized. Lineage: Eukaryota; Viridiplantae; Streptophyta; Magnoliopsida; Santalales; Ximeniaceae. The transcript is spliced from 4 exons. The record is from RefSeq and is a predicted model, not a curated record.